UAGGGAAUAUUGGUCAAUGGGCGAAAGCCUGAACCAGCAACGCCGCGUGGAUGAUGAAGCUUCUUGGAGUGUAAAAUCCUGUCAGUGGGGACGAAACGUAGGGAGAGGAAAUGCUCUCUACCUGACUGUACCUGCAGAGGAAGUUCCGGCCAACUCCGUGCCAGCAGCCGCGGUAAUACGGGGGGAACGAGCGUUGUUCGGAUUUACUGGGCGUAAAGGGCACGCAGGCGGGAAAGCAAGUCAGACGUGAAAUCCCAAAGCUCAACUCUGGGACUGCAUUUGAUACUGCUUUUCUUGAGUACGAGAGAGGAUGGCGGAAUUCUUGGUGUAGCGGUGAAAUGCGUAGAUAUCAAGAAGAACACCGGUGGCGAAGGCGGCCAUCUGGCUCGAUACUGACGCUCAGGUGCGAAGGUCGGGGGAGCAAACAGG
This 429-nucleotide ribosomal RNA is filed under the name uncultured bacterium. RNAcentral describes it as "bacterial SSU rRNA". It matches the Rfam family "Bacterial small subunit ribosomal RNA", at positions 355 to 776 of the family's 1533-position model. The record is from RNAcentral.